RNAcentral lists this ribosomal RNA (484 nucleotides) under uncultured bacterium. RNAcentral describes it as "partial 16S ribosomal RNA". It matches the Rfam family "Bacterial small subunit ribosomal RNA", at positions 30 to 507 of the family's 1533-position model. The record is from RNAcentral.
AUUGAACGCUGGCGGCAGGCCUAACACAUGCAAGUCGAGCGGAUGAAGGGAGCUUGCUCCUGGAUUCAGCGGCGGACGGGCGAGUAAUGCCUAGGAAUCUGCCUGGUAGUGGGGGAUAACGUCCGGAAACGGGCGCUAAUACCGCAUACGUCCUGAGGGAGAAAGUGGGGGAUCUUCGGACCUCACGCUAUCAGAUGAGCCUAGGUCGGAUUAGCUAGUUGGUGGGGUAAAGGCCUACCAAGGCGACGAUCCGUAACUGGUCUGAGAGGAUGAUCAGUCACACUGGAACUGAGACACGGUCCAGACUCCUACGGGAGGCAGCAGUGGGGAAUAUUGGACAAUGGGCGAAAGCCUGAUCCAGCCAUGCCGCGUGUGUGAAGAAGGUCUUCGGAUUAUAAAGCACUUUAAGUUGGGAGGAAGGGCAGUAAGUUAAUACCUUGCUGUUUUGACGUUACCAACAGAAUAAGCACCGGCUAACUUCGUG